Molecule: ribosomal RNA, 480 nt
Filed under: uncultured bacterium
Lineage: Bacteria
Description: partial 16S ribosomal RNA
Rfam family: Bacterial small subunit ribosomal RNA
Source: RNAcentral
GACGAACGCUGGCGGCGUGCUUAACACAUGCAAGUCGAGCGGAAAGGCCACUUCGGUGGUACUCGAGCGGCGAACGGGUGAGUAACACGUGAGUAAUCUGCCCCUGGCUUUGGGAUAGCCACCGGAAACGGUGAUUAAUACCGGAUACGACCACCUCUCGCAUGGGCUGGUGGUGGAAAGUUUUUUCGGCCAGGGUUGUGCUCGCGGCCUAUCAGCUUGAUGGUGAGGUAAUGGCUCACCAUGGCUUCGACGGGUAGCCGGCCUGAGAGGGUGACCGGUCACACUGGGACUGAGACACGGCCCAGACUCCUACGGGAGGCAGCAGUGGGGAAUAUUGGACAAUGGGCGGAAGCCUGAUCCAGCAACGCCGCGUGAGGGAUGACGGCCUUCGGGUUGUAAACCUCUUUCAGCAGGGACGAAGCGCAAGUGACGGUACCUGCAGAAGAAGCACCGGCCAACUACGUGCAGCCGCCGCCGUAA